This 190-nucleotide small nuclear RNA is filed under the name Dasypus novemcinctus (nine-banded armadillo). RNAcentral's name for it is "U2 spliceosomal RNA (ENSDNOG00000047551.1)". It matches the Rfam family "U2 spliceosomal RNA". Rfam says of the family: U2 is a small nuclear RNA (snRNA) component of the spliceosome (involved in pre-mRNA splicing). Complementary binding between U2 snRNA (in an area lying towards the 5' end but 3' to hairpin I) and the branchpoint sequence (BPS) of the intron results the bulging out of an unpaired adenosine, on the BPS, which initiates a nucleophilic attack at the intronic 5' splice site, thus starting the first of two transesterification reactions that mediate splicing. Lineage: Eukaryota; Metazoa; Chordata; Mammalia; Cingulata; Dasypodidae. The record is from RNAcentral.
AUCGUUUCUCCAUCUUUUGGCUAAGAUCAAGUGUACUGUCUGUUCUUACCAGUUUAAUACCUGAUAUGUCCUUUAUCUGAGAACAAUAUAUUAAAUGGAUUUUUGGAAUUAGGAGAUGGAAUAGGAGCUUGCUCCAUCCACUCACACAUUGACCUGGUAUUGCAGUACUUCCAGGAAUGGUGCACCAAAG